UGACGACCAUAGAGCGUUGGAACCACCUGAUCCCAUCCCGAACUCAGCAGUGAAACGAUGCAUCGCCGAUGGUAGUG
This 77-nucleotide ribosomal RNA is filed under the name Pseudomonas fluorescens. Lineage: Bacteria; Pseudomonadati; Pseudomonadota; Gammaproteobacteria; Pseudomonadales; Pseudomonadaceae. The record is from RNAcentral.